Bombyx mori (domestic silkworm) is the source of this 2494-nucleotide long non-coding RNA. RefSeq lists it as uncharacterized. The transcript has 5 exons. The record is from RefSeq and is a predicted model, not a curated record. NCBI's taxonomy places the organism in Eukaryota, Metazoa, Arthropoda, Insecta, Lepidoptera, Bombycidae.
AAUGCCACCGGCAGCGGUAUCACGUAUUUCGCAGACAAUUAGCAGAAGACAAAUAUUGUGCAAAUAUUGCUGUCAACUGUCCAUUUCGUAUUACGGACUUACAACAAAAAAGCAGAUCGCGGACCAUCACUAGUGCUGCCUCUGCAGAGCGAUUUGUGAAACUUUAGUGCAUUCUUUUCCAUACAACUAACAACAACUGGCAUAAAGUCGGUAUUACGGCAGCUGUAUCACGUAUUUCGCAGACAAUUAGCAGAAGACAAAUAUUGUGCAAAUAUUGCUGUCAACUGUCCAUUUCGUAUUACGGACUUACAACAAAAAAGCAGAUCGCGGACCAUCACUAGUGCUGCCUCUGCAGAGCGAUUUGUGAAACUUUAGUGCAUUCUUUUCCAUACAACUAACAACAACUGGCCUAAAGUCGGUAUUACGGAUGCUUUUGUUUGCCACACAACAGCAGAUAUUUAGCAAUUUCGUUUGUCAAAUUUGCGACACCUUUUGUAUCUGGUGCUGAAUUGUUGCUAACUAUCUGCAAGUGUAAAAUUUGUGAAAUUAAAUUAUUUUAACUUGAUUUAGGUAUGUAUGGACAGAGCUCAAAUAAUGGGGCUUUGGAGUCUAAGGAAAUUAGGUGGGAUACAUACGAAUCAGUGCGUUUGCGACGCUGUCUUCGGGAUCAAGCCUGACCCCUUAAUCUAUCGGAAAGUUUGUUCAGAACACAUUACAGAAUUUCGAAACAUCAAUAUUUACAAUUGUGCUCUGAAUUAAAGCCGUUAAUAACCUAGAUCAUCAAGACGAACAAGAAUAGAAAGUAAAAUGCAAGGUGUUAACAGCAUUGCAAAAUUUCAUACCAGAAACCUGUGGGAAUGAGCUUUUUGCAUUUUGAGUUAAACUGUAGUAAAUCCAAUGCCAUUAGGGAAGUGGCUAUGGCAUUAAACAAUCUUCCAGUUUUAUUGAAACAUUUAAAGUUUCUGCAAACAGUACAAUGGGUCACAAGUUAUUAUAAAUGGGUUUUACAAUAAAUUUGGCUUUCCUGGGGUUUCGGGGUGUAUAGAUGGCACUCAUUUGCACUUAUCAGAUCUUCUGUAUAUGAAGAAAGGUUUUAGAACCGCAAGCAUUAUCAUUUCAAGAAUGUGCAAAUAAUAUGUGAUAGUGAUCUUAACAUUUUUAGUAUUGAUGCAACAUUUCAUGAUACAUUUGUCUGGCUUAUCACAACUGAAUAUGCCUAUGCAGGACCUGCACCAUAAUAGUGAAAAAGUUUGGUUUUUAGGCAAGUAAAACAUCAUGAGCUCUGUCUCAGUAACCUGACUACAAAAUAAUACUCAAUCUAAAAGUAUAUUUAAAACUGGGAAGGCAGUUAAUAUAUAGUACUAUAGUAAUGUUUAUUGUCAUACCAGGAACACUGUUGACCAUUGUGAGUAUUGAAAGCCAGUUGGAGAUGCUUGUUGGUACAUAGAGUACUGCAUUAUGAUCAUCAUAUGAUGGCCAAGACCAUAAUUGUUAGCUUGUAUUGCAUAACAUGGCAAACACAUGGGUUUCCAGUGCCCCAACUCUCUGAUGAAGAUGCUGAAAUUGAUGUUUCUUAUCAAAUUCAUAACAUUGUAUUUUUUGGGAGAGAAGAGGAAACACAGCACUUAGCACCAUGUCAACAUUCAAGGGUGGUUCAAUUGGAUUGUGGAGAACAGACAUUAAAUUUAGUCUCAACCUCUGUAUUCUAGUAAUUUUAUGUAGAUAUUUUUAAAACUGCUGUUCUUAAUUAUGUGAACUGAGAGGGCAAGAAUAGCCUAAUUAUUUCUGCCUAUAAUUUUUUAAUUGUGCUUAGUGGAAAUAUACAUAUUUCCUUAACAUUUUUGUGUUUAUAGUAAAGGAUGGAUUCAUAACUAUUUGAAAGCAAAAUUGUGAGGUUGUUUUAUUAAGACAAUGUUUUAAUCUGUCGUGCUCAAUUUGUUCUGUAUCAUUUUAUCUUUAUGUUAACCCCGUUUGUAUGUUGUGUUGUUAUAUAUAUUAUUGUAUAUACUGCUGUUUUAAAUAAUGGAAUAGAAUUAAUAACAAAUCGACUAGUAAUUCAUAAUUCUUCUAGAUUUUGUUGGAUAGUUACAUGAAUAUUACUUACAAAAUGAAAAACAUAAUUCAUAAUUUAGACAAAAUGUUGAUCAACCACCACUGAUUUUUGUUCAUUGUGAUAAUAAUAAUAAUAUAAAUAUAAAUAUUUAACUGGUCCCGUGAUAAGUUCGUAAAGAACUUGUGUUACAGGUACCAGAUAACGGAAAUAAAUGUAGGAUUUUUAUUAUACAUACAUAUAUUUAAUAUACAUCCAUAACCCUGGAAAAUACAUUUAUAUUUAUCAUACAAAUAUCUUCCCUUGGCGGGAUUCGAACCCGCGACCCCCUUGUGUAGCGACCAUGUCACUUACCACUACACCAGAAGGCCGUAAGAUAAGUUUGAUAAAAAUUUUUUUUGUGUAAUUUUGUUAUAUUUGAAUAAUAAUUCUUAAAUUAGGAAA